This 269-nucleotide ribosomal RNA is filed under the name uncultured prokaryote. RNAcentral's name for it is "partial 16S ribosomal RNA". It matches the Rfam family "Bacterial small subunit ribosomal RNA", at positions 524 to 792 of the family's 1533-position model. The record is from RNAcentral.
UACGGAGGUGGCAAGCGUUGUUCGGAUUUACUGGGUGUAAAGGUCAUGUAGGCGUCUUAUUAAGUCGGAUGUGAAAUCCCUUGGCUCAACCAAGGAACUGCAUUCGAUACUGGUAGGAUUGAGUACGAGAGAGGUAAGCGGAAUUCCGGAAGUAAGGGUGAAAUCUGUAGAUAUUCGGAAGAACACCAUUAGCGAAGGCGGCUUACUGGCUCGAUACUGACGCUGAAAUGAGAAAGCUAAGGGAGCGAACAGGAUUAGAUACCCGCGUA